This 253-nucleotide ribosomal RNA is filed under the name uncultured bacterium. Its description in RNAcentral is "partial 16S ribosomal RNA". It matches the Rfam family "Bacterial small subunit ribosomal RNA", at positions 524 to 776 of the family's 1533-position model. The record is from RNAcentral.
UACGUAGGGUGCAAGCGUUAAUCGGAAUUACUGGGCGUAAAGCGUGCGCAGGCGGUCCGUUAAGACAGAUGUGAAAUCCCCGGGCUCAACCUGGGAACUGCAUUUGUGACUGUAGAGCUGGAGUGCGGCAGAGGGGGAUGGAAUUCCGCGUGUAGCAGUGAAAUGCGUAGAUAUGCGGAGGAACACCGAUGGCGAAGGCAAUCCCCUGGGCCUGCACUGACGCUCAUGCACGAAAGCGUGGGGAGCAAACAGG